Molecule: ribosomal RNA, 454 nt
Filed under: uncultured bacterium
Lineage: Bacteria
Description: SSU rRNA
Rfam family: Bacterial small subunit ribosomal RNA
Source: RNAcentral
AGAGCGAACGCUGGCGGCAGGCUUAACACAUGCAAGUCGAGCGGGCGUAGCAAUACGUCAGCGGCAGACGGGUGAGUAACGCGUGGGAACGUACCUUUUGGUUCGGAACAACACAGGGAAACUUGUGCUAAAUACCGGAUAAGCCCUUACGGGGAAAGAUUUAUCGCCAAAAGAUCGGCCCGCGUCUGAUUAGCUAGUUGGUGAGGUAACGGCUCACCAAGGCGACGAUCAGUAGCUGGUCUGAGAGGAUGAUCAGCCACAUUGGGACUGAGACACGGCCCAGACUCCUACGGGAGGCAGCAGUGGGGAAUAUUGCGCAAUGGGCGAAAGCCUGACGCAGCGACGCCGCGUGGGGGAUGAAUGCCUUCGGGUUGUAAACCCCUUUCAGCAGGGACGAAGCGAAAGUGACGGUACCUGCAGAAGAAGCGCCGGCUAACUACGUGCCAGCAGCCGC